UCGAUUAAAGAGCUACACGAGCUGGGUUAAAUACGUCGUGAGACAGUAUGGUUUCUAUCUUCUAGAGGAAAUUAGAGUAAAAUAAGGAUAGCCCCUUCGUACGAAAGGAGUUGGGUAUGCUAACCCCUGGUUUACCUGUUGUUU
This 144-nucleotide ribosomal RNA is filed under the name Rickettsiales bacterium. RNAcentral describes it as "partial 23S ribosomal RNA". It matches the Rfam family "Bacterial large subunit ribosomal RNA", at positions 2584 to 2726 of the family's 2925-position model. Lineage: Bacteria; Pseudomonadati; Pseudomonadota; Alphaproteobacteria; Rickettsiales. The record is from RNAcentral.